RNAcentral lists this ribosomal RNA (279 nucleotides) under uncultured bacterium. Its description in RNAcentral is "partial 16S ribosomal RNA". It matches the Rfam family "Bacterial small subunit ribosomal RNA", at positions 524 to 799 of the family's 1533-position model. The record is from RNAcentral.
GACGAACCGUGCGAACGUUGUUCGGAAUCACUGGGCUUAAAGGGCGCGUAGGUGGUUUGCCAAGUCGGGGUUGAAAUCUUUCGGCUUAACCGGAAAAGUGGCUUCGAUACUGGCAAGCUGGAGGGAGGUAGGGGCGGAUGGAACUUCCGGUGGAGCGGUGAAAUGUGUUGAUAUCGGAAGGAACGCCGGUGGCGAAAGCGAUCCGCUGGACCUCUUCUGACACUGAGGCGCGAAAGCCAGGGGAGCAAACGGGAUUAGAAAGCCCGGGGUAAGUCCCAG